RNAcentral lists this non-coding RNA (30 nucleotides) under Homo sapiens (human). The record is from RNAcentral. Lineage: Eukaryota; Metazoa; Chordata; Mammalia; Primates; Hominidae.
UCCCCUCCACAUUUGGUGAAAUAGGAAGCU